This 404-nucleotide ribosomal RNA is filed under the name uncultured bacterium. RNAcentral describes it as "bacterial SSU rRNA". It matches the Rfam family "Bacterial small subunit ribosomal RNA", at positions 43 to 449 of the family's 1533-position model. The record is from RNAcentral.
CAGGCCUAACACAUGCAAGUCGAGCGGAGAUGAGGUGCUUGCACCUUAUCUUAGCGGCGGACGGGUGAGUAAUGCUUAGGAAUCUGCCUAUUAGUGGGGGACAACAUUUCGAAAGGAAUGCUAAUACCGCAUACGCCCUACGGGGGAAAGCAGGGGAUCUUCGGACCUUGCGCUAAUAGAUGAGCCUAAGUCGGAUUAGCUAGUUGGUGGGGUAAAGGCCUACCAAGGCGACGAUCUGUAGCGGGUCUGAGAGGAUGAUCCGCCACACUGGGACUGAGACACGGCCCAGACUCCUACGGGAGGCAGCAGUGGGGAAGAUUGGACAAUGGGGGGAACCCUGAUCCAGCCAUGCCGCGUGUGUGAAGAAGGCCUUUUGGUUGUAAAGCACUUUAAGCGAGGAGGAG